UGGGGAAUUUUGGACAAUGGGCGAAAGCCUGAUCCAGCAAUGCCGCGUGUGUGAAGAAGGCCUUCGGGUUGUAAAGCACUUUUGUCCGGAAAGAAAUCCUUGGCUCUAAUACAGUCGGGGGAUGACGGUACCGGAAGAAUAAGCACCGGCUAACUACGUGCCAGCAGCCGCGGUAAUACGUAGGGUGCAAGCGUUAAUCGGAAUUACUGGGCGUAAAGCGUGCGCAGGCGGUUUGCUAAGACCGAUGUGAAAUCCCCGGGCUCAACCUGGGAACUGCAUUGGUGACUGGCAGGCUAGAGUAUGGCAGAGGGGGGUAGAAUUCCACGUGUAGCAGUGAAAUGCGUAGAGAUGUGGAGGAAUGCCGAUGGCGAAGGCAGCCCCCUGGGCCAAUACUGACGCUCAUGCACGAAAGCGUGGGGAGCAAACAGGAUUAGAUACCCUGGUAGUCCACGCCCUAAACGAUGUCAACUAGUUGUUGGGGAUUCAUUUCCUUAGUAACGUAGCUAACGCGUGAAGUUGACCGCCUGGGGAGUACGGUCG
Molecule: ribosomal RNA, 540 nt
Filed under: uncultured bacterium
Lineage: Bacteria
Description: partial 16S ribosomal RNA
Rfam family: Bacterial small subunit ribosomal RNA
Source: RNAcentral